AUUGAACGCUGGCGGCAGGCCUAACACAUGCAAGUCGAACGAGUGGCGGACGGGUGAGUAAUGUCUGGGAAACUGCCCGAAGGAGGGGGAUAACUACUGGAAACGGUAGCUAAUACCGCAUACCAUCGGAUGUGCCCAGAUGGGAUUAGCUAGUAGGUGGGGUAACGGCUCACCUAGGCGACGAUCCCUAGCUGGUCUGAGAGGAUGACCAGCCACACUGGAACUGAGACACGGUCCAGACUCCUCCGGGGGACAGCGGUGGGGAAUAUUGGACAAUGGGCGAAAGCCUGAUGCGGCCAUGCCGCGUGUAUGAAGAAGGCCUUCGGGUUGUAAAGUGCUUCCAUCGAGGAGGCGUUACUCGCAGAGGAAGCGCCGGCUAACUCCGUGCCAGCAGCCGCGGUAAUAC
This 406-nucleotide ribosomal RNA is filed under the name uncultured bacterium. Its description in RNAcentral is "partial 16S ribosomal RNA". It matches the Rfam family "Bacterial small subunit ribosomal RNA", at positions 30 to 526 of the family's 1533-position model. The record is from RNAcentral.